GCACCAGUGGUCUAGUGGUAGAAUAAUACCCUGCCACGGUACAGACCCGAGUUCGAUUCCUAGAUGGUGCA
Molecule: non-coding RNA, 71 nt
Organism: Picea glauca (white spruce)
Lineage: Eukaryota; Viridiplantae; Streptophyta; Pinopsida; Pinales; Pinaceae
Source: Rfam